This 2902-nucleotide ribosomal RNA is filed under the name Escherichia coli KTE40. Its description in RNAcentral is "bacterial LSU rRNA". It matches the Rfam family "Bacterial large subunit ribosomal RNA". Lineage: Bacteria; Pseudomonadati; Pseudomonadota; Gammaproteobacteria; Enterobacterales; Enterobacteriaceae. The record is from RNAcentral.
UUAAGCGACUAAGCGUACACGGUGGAUGCCCUGGCAGUCAGAGGCGAUGAAGGACGUGCUAAUCUGCGAUAAGCGUCGGUAAGGUGAUAUGAACCGUUAUAACCGGCGAUUUCCGAAUGGGGAAACCCAGUGUGUUUCGACACACUAUCAUUAACUGAAUCCAUAGGUUAAUGAGGCGAACCGGGGGAACUGAAACAUCUAAGUACCCCGAGGAAAAGAAAUCAACCGAGAUUCCCCCAGUAGCGGCGAGCGAACGGGGAGCAGCCCAGAGCCUGAAUCAGUGUGUGUGUUAGUGGAAGCGUCUGGAAAGGCGCGCGAUACAGGGUGACAGCCCCGUACACAAAAAUGCACAUGCUGUGAGCUCGAUGAGUAGGGCGGGACACGUGGUAUCCUGUCUGAAUAUGGGGGGACCAUCCUCCAAGGCUAAAUACUCCUGACUGACCGAUAGUGAACCAGUACCGUGAGGGAAAGGCGAAAAGAACCCCGGCGAGGGGAGUGAAAAAGAACCUGAAACCGUGUACGUACAAGCAGUGGGAGCCUCUUUUAUGGGGUGACUGCGUACCUUUUGUAUAAUGGGUCAGCGACUUAUAUUCUGUAGCAAGGUUAACCGAAUAGGGGAGCCGAAGGGAAACCGAGUCUUAACUGGGCGUUAAGUUGCAGGGUAUAGACCCGAAACCCGGUGAUCUAGCCAUGGGCAGGUUGAAGGUUGGGUAACACUAACUGGAGGACCGAACCGACUAAUGUUGAAAAAUUAGCGGAUGACUUGUGGCUGGGGGUGAAAGGCCAAUCAAACCGGGAGAUAGCUGGUUCUCCCCGAAAGCUAUUUAGGUAGCGCCUCGUGAAUUCAUCUCCGGGGGUAGAGCACUGUUUCGGCAAGGGGGUCAUCCCGACUUACCAACCCGAUGCAAACUGCGAAUACCGGAGAAUGUUAUCACGGGAGACACACGGCGGGUGCUAACGUCCGUCGUGAAGAGGGAAACAACCCAGACCGCCAGCUAAGGUCCCAAAGUCAUGGUUAAGUGGGAAACGAUGUGGGAAGGCCCAGACAGCCAGGAUGUUGGCUUAGAAGCAGCCAUCAUUUAAAGAAAGCGUAAUAGCUCACUGGUCGAGUCGGCCUGCGCGGAAGAUGUAACGGGGCUAAACCAUGCACCGAAGCUGCGGCAGCGACGCUUAUGCGUUGUUGGGUAGGGGAGCGUUCUGUAAGCCUGCGAAGGUGUGCUGUGAGGCAUGCUGGAGGUAUCAGAAGUGCGAAUGCUGACAUAAGUAACGAUAAAGCGGGUGAAAAGCCCGCUCGCCGGAAGACCAAGGGUUCCUGUCCAACGUUAAUCGGGGCAGGGUGAGUCGACCCCUAAGGCGAGGCCGAAAGGCGUAGUCGAUGGGAAACAGGUUAAUAUUCCUGUACUUGGUGUUACUGCGAAGGGGGGACGGAGAAGGCUAUGUUGGCCGGGCGACGGUUGUCCCGGUUUAAGCGUGUAGGCUGGUUUUCCAGGCAAAUCCGGAAAAUCAAGGCUGAGGCGUGAUGACGAGGCACUACGGUGCUGAAGCAACAAAUGCCCUGCUUCCAGGAAAAGCCUCUAAGCAUCAGGUAACAUCAAAUCGUACCCCAAACCGACACAGGUGGUCAGGUAGAGAAUACCAAGGCGCUUGAGAGAACUCGGGUGAAGGAACUAGGCAAAAUGGUGCCGUAACUUCGGGAGAAGGCACGCUGAUAUGUAGGUGAAGCGACUUGCUCGUGGAGCUGAAAUCAGUCGAAGAUACCAGCUGGCUGCAACUGUUUAUUAAAAACACAGCACUGUGCAAACACGAAAGUGGACGUAUACGGUGUGACGCCUGCCCGGUGCCGGAAGGUUAAUUGAUGGGGUUAGCGCAAGCGAAGCUCUUGAUCGAAGCCCCGGUAAACGGCGGCCGUAACUAUAACGGUCCUAAGGUAGCGAAAUUCCUUGUCGGGUAAGUUCCGACCUGCACGAAUGGCGUAAUGAUGGCCAGGCUGUCUCCACCCGAGACUCAGUGAAAUUGAACUCGCUGUGAAGAUGCAGUGUACCCGCGGCAAGACGGAAAGACCCCGUGAACCUUUACUAUAGCUUGACACUGAACAUUGAGCCUUGAUGUGUAGGAUAGGUGGGAGGCUUAGAAGUGUGGACGCCAGUCUGCAUGGAGCCGACCUUGAAAUACCACCCUUUAAUGUUUGAUGUUCUAACGUUGACCCGUAAUCCGGGUUGCGGACAGUGUCUGGUGGGUAGUUUGACUGGGGCGGUCUCCUCCUAAAGAGUAACGGAGGAGCACGAAGGUUGGCUAAUCCUGGUCGGACAUCAGGAGGUUAGUGCAAUGGCAUAAGCCAGCUUGACUGCGAGCGUGACGGCGCGAGCAGGUGCGAAAGCAGGUCAUAGUGAUCCGGUGGUUCUGAAUGGAAGGGCCAUCGCUCAACGGAUAAAAGGUACUCCGGGGAUAACAGGCUGAUACCGCCCAAGAGUUCAUAUCGACGGCGGUGUUUGGCACCUCGAUGUCGGCUCAUCACAUCCUGGGGCUGAAGUAGGUCCCAAGGGUAUGGCUGUUCGCCAUUUAAAGUGGUACGCGAGCUGGGUUUAGAACGUCGUGAGACAGUUCGGUCCCUAUCUGCCGUGGGCGCUGGAGAACUGAGGGGGGCUGCUCCUAGUACGAGAGGACCGGAGUGGACGCAUCACUGGUGUUCGGGUUGUCAUGCCAAUGGCACUGCCCGGUAGCUAAAUGCGGAAGAGAUAAGUGCUGAAAGCAUCUAAGCACGAAACUUGCCCCGAGAUGAGUUCUCCCUGACCCUUUAAGGGUCCUGAAGGAACGUUGAAGACGACGACGUUGAUAGGCCGGGUGUGUAAGCGCAGCGAUGCGUUGAGCUAACCGGUACUAAUGAACCGUGAGGCUUAACCUU